UCGAGCGCGCCCUUUCGGGGGUGAGCGGCGGACGGGUGAGUAACGCGUGGGAACGUGCCCUUUUCUGCGGAAUAGCCUCGGGAAACUGAGAGUAAUACCGCAUACGCCCUUUGGGGGAAAGAUUUAUCGGAGAAGGAUCGGCCCGCGUUGGAUUAGGUAGUUGGUGGGGUAAUGGCUCACCAAGCCGACGAUCCAUAGCUGGUUUGAGAGGAUGAUCAGCCACACUGGGACUGAGACACGGCCCAGACUCCUACGGGAGGCAGCAGGU
Molecule: ribosomal RNA, 268 nt
Filed under: uncultured Rhodobacter sp.
Lineage: Bacteria; Pseudomonadati; Pseudomonadota; Alphaproteobacteria; Rhodobacterales
Description: partial 16S ribosomal RNA
Rfam family: Bacterial small subunit ribosomal RNA
Source: RNAcentral